UAUUGGACAAUGGGGGGAACCCUGAUCCAGCGACGCCGCGUGAGUGAAGAAGUAUUUCGGUAUGUAAAGCUCUAUCAGCAGGGAAGAAAGAAAUGACGGUACCUGACUAAGAAGCCCCGGCUAACUACGUGCCAGCAGCCGCGGUAAUACGUAGGGGGCAAGCGUUAUCCGGAUUUACUGGGUGUAAAGGGAGCGUAGACGGCGGGGCAAGUCUGGAGUGAAAGGCCGGGGCCCAACCCCGGGACCGCUCUGGAACCUGCCCGGCUGGAGUGCGGGAGAGGUAAGCGGAAUUCCUAGUGUAGCGGUGAAAUGCGUAGAUAUUAGGAGGAACACCAGUGGCGAAGGCGGCCUGCUGGACAGAAACUGACGUUGAGGCUCGAAAGCGUGGGGAGCAAACAGG
Molecule: ribosomal RNA, 400 nt
Filed under: uncultured bacterium
Lineage: Bacteria
Description: bacterial SSU rRNA
Rfam family: Bacterial small subunit ribosomal RNA
Source: RNAcentral